UGCCAUGAAAUAUAACUUGUUGUUUGAAAGUCCUAGCUCAAGUUUUUCCUUUAAGGCAAUAAUUGUAGAAUAUCUCAUAAAUGAAAACAUAACGUGGUAGAGUCAACUCUUGCCCGUGGGGUAUAAUUUGUUGUUUGAAAGUCCCUGAGCUAAGUCUUUCCUCUAAGGUAAGAGUUAUAAAAAUCUCAUAAAUCAAAAUACAAUGUGGUAGUGUCGACUCUUGCCCCUGAAAUAUAAUUUGUUGUUUGAAAGUCAAAAGUCUUGCCUCUACAAUGUAGUAGGUCAACUCUUGCCCAUGAAACGUAGCUUAUUGUUCGAAAGUCGUAAGUCUUGCCUUUAUAAUGUGAUAUUGUCAACUCUUGCUCAUGAGAUGUAACUUGAAUGGAAGAAAUCGAAGAAAAAAAUAAAAAUAAUAAAAAUUAUGGAAAAAGAAGAAAAUGAAGAAAAAUAUUUAAAAAAUAAAAAUCAAAGAAAAUGUAGAAGUUGACAGAGAAUAGGAAAAAAAUAAAGGUUGGUAAAAAAAAAAGAUUAAAUAAAAAAAAGAUCGAGAAAAAUUUAAAAAGAAAAAAAUCAAAGAAAAAUAAAAAAAGUUUUUAUUUUAUAAAAGUAGACGUUGAAAGAUGUAAAUAAAAAAAGUAAGGGUUGAGAAAAACUAAAAAGAACAAAAAAAAAAGGAAAAAAAAUAAAAAUAAUAUAAAAUAAAAAAGAAAAAAAAGAAGUUGAGAGGAAAAAAGGAAAAAAGUAAGGGUUGAGAAAAUUAAAAAUAAAAAGAGAAAAGUAAA
Molecule: long non-coding RNA, 782 nt
Filed under: Capsicum annuum
Lineage: Eukaryota; Viridiplantae; Streptophyta; Magnoliopsida; Solanales; Solanaceae
Description: long non-coding RNA (CANN_LNC011401)
Source: RNAcentral